AUGUACUAUUUCAAAAAGGAAAUUCAAAAGAACAUUUGUGAGAAGCAGCCAGCGUUUUUCUUUAGCAGUAAUAUCUUGGUUAACUCCAUCGAUAUGUUGUAUGUUUUAUCUCCUGUUACUGGAAUUGUCAUCAGGAAAUCAGCAUCUGUUCUCAGUAGCUUUCUCAUUGUUGGUCAUACUUUGCAGGCAUUGUUCAUCCUUCUGCCAGCAGCAAAGGAGAAGGAAGGAUUACAGGUUUGCCAAGUGCCACAUUUCAAAAAUUCAAUUCGACAAGGAAUGAAGAAGGAUCACAUCAAUAGUCACAACAUCGCAGAAGAUUAA
This 321-nucleotide ribosomal RNA is filed under the name Triticum aestivum (bread wheat). RNAcentral's name for it is "partial small subunit ribosomal RNA". Lineage: Eukaryota; Viridiplantae; Streptophyta; Magnoliopsida; Poales; Poaceae. The record is from RNAcentral.